GCCUCGGUGGCGGAAUUGGUAGACGCGCUGGUCUCAAACACCAGUGUUUUAACGAACAUGCCGGUUCGAGUCCGGCCCGGGGUACAA
Molecule: transfer RNA, 87 nt
Filed under: Sphingobacteriia bacterium
Lineage: Bacteria; Pseudomonadati; Bacteroidota; Sphingobacteriia
Description: tRNA-Leu
Rfam family: tRNA
About the family: Transfer RNA (tRNA) molecules are approximately 80 nucleotides in length.
Source: RNAcentral